RNAcentral lists this ribosomal RNA (438 nucleotides) under uncultured Owenweeksia sp. RNAcentral's name for it is "bacterial SSU rRNA". It matches the Rfam family "Bacterial small subunit ribosomal RNA", at positions 941 to 1382 of the family's 1533-position model. The record is from RNAcentral. Lineage: Bacteria; Pseudomonadati; Bacteroidota; Flavobacteriia; Flavobacteriales; Owenweeksiaceae.
GUGGUUUAAUUCGAUGAUACGCGAGGAACCUUACCUGGGCUUAAAUGAGAAACGACAGUUUGGAAACAAGACCUUCUUCGGACGGUUCUCAAGGUGCUGCAUGGUUGUCGUCAGCUCGUGCUGUGAGGUGUCGGGUUAAGUCCCAUAACGAGCGCAACCCCUAUCUUUAGUUGCCAGCGAGUAAUGUCGGGGACUCUAGAGAAACUGCCGGUGCAAACCGUGAGGAAGGUGGGGAUGACGUCAAAUCAUCACGGCCCUUACGUCCAGGGCUACACACGUGCUACAAUGGCGGAUACAAAGGGCAGCUACUAGGUGACUAGAUGCUAAUCUCUAAAGUCCGUCUCAGUUCGGAUCGAAGUCUGCAACUCGACUUCGUGAAGCUGGAAUCGCUAGUAAUCGCGCAUCAGCCAUGGCGCGGUGAAUACGUUCCCGGGCCUU